Molecule: ribosomal RNA, 449 nt
Filed under: uncultured bacterium
Lineage: Bacteria
Description: partial 16S ribosomal RNA
Rfam family: Bacterial small subunit ribosomal RNA
Source: RNAcentral
AGCGAACGCUGGCGGCAGGCCUAACACAUGCAAGUCGGACGGACCCUUCGGGGUUAGUGGCGGACGGGUGAGUAACACGUGGGAACGUGCCUUUAGGUCCGGAAUAGCUCCUGGAAACGGGUGGUAAUGCCGAAUGUGCCCUUCGGGGGAAAGAUUUAUCGCCUUUAGAGCGGCCCGCGUCUGAUUAGCUAGUUGGUGAGGUAACGGCUCACCAAGGCGACGAUCAGUAGCUGGUCUGAGAGGAUGACCUGCCACACUGGGACUGAGACACGGCCCGGACUCCUACGGGAGGCAGCAGUGGGGAAUCUUGCGCAAUGGGCGAAAGCCUGACGCAGCCAUGCCGCGUGAAUGAUGAAGGUCUUAGGAUUGUAAAAUUCUUUCACCGGGGACGAUAAUGACGGUACCCGGAGAAGAAGCCCCGGCUAACUUCGUGCCAGCAGCCGCGGUAA